Molecule: ribosomal RNA, 357 nt
Filed under: uncultured bacterium
Lineage: Bacteria
Description: bacterial SSU rRNA
Rfam family: Bacterial small subunit ribosomal RNA
Source: RNAcentral
GGGCCCGCACAAGCGGUGGAGCAUGUGGCUUAAUUCGAGGCAACGCGAAGAACCUUACCUGGUCUUGACAUGCCCGUCAUAGUUUUCCGAAAGGAAUUCGUCAGUUCGGCUGGACGGUGCACAGGUGCUGCAUGGCUGUCGUCAGCUCGUGUCGUGAGAUGUUCGUUAAGUCCGGCAACGAGCGCAACCCUCGUUCCUAGUUGCCAGCGGGUAAUGCCGGGGACUCUAGGAAGACAAACCUCGUGUAGAGGUGGGAAGGUGGGGACGACGUCAAGUCAGUAUGGCCCUUACGACCAGGGCUGCACACGUGCUACAAUGCCCAGCACAAUGGGAUGCAACACCGCGAGGUUGAGCAAA